RNAcentral lists this transfer RNA (77 nucleotides) under bacterium. RNAcentral's name for it is "tRNA-Pro". It matches the Rfam family "tRNA". From Rfam's summary of the family: Transfer RNA (tRNA) molecules are approximately 80 nucleotides in length. Their secondary structure includes four short double-helical elements and three loops (D, anti-codon, and T loops). The record is from RNAcentral. RNAcentral also lists the same sequence under 1 other name.
CGGGAUGUGGCUCAGCUUGGUAGAGCGCCUUGUUCGGAACGAGGAGGUCGUAGGUUCGAAUCCUAUCAUCCCGACCA